GACGAACGCUGGCGGCGUGCUUAACACAUGCAAGUCGAACGAUGAAGCUAGAGCUUGCUCUGGUGAAUCAGUGGCGAACGGGUGAGUAACACGUGAGUAACCUGCCCGAACUCUGGGAUAACUGCUGGAAACGGUAGCUAAUACUGGAUACGACCUACGAAGGCAUCUUCUGUAGGUGGAAAGAAUUUCGGUUCGGGAUGGACUCGCGGCCUAUCAGCUUGUUGGUGAGGUAAUGGCUCACCAAGGCGACGACGGGUAGCCGGCCUGAGAGGGUGACCGGCCACACUGGGACUGAGGCACGGCCCAGACUCCUACGGGAGGCAGCAGUGGGGAAUAUUGCACAAUGGGCGCAAGCCUGAUGCAGCAACGCCGCGUGAGGGAUGACGGCCUUCGGGUUGUAAACCUCUUUUAGUAGGGAAGAAGCGAAAGUGACGGUACCUGCAGAAAAAGCACCGGCUAACUACGUGCCAGCCGCCGCAGUAA
Molecule: ribosomal RNA, 483 nt
Filed under: uncultured bacterium
Lineage: Bacteria
Description: partial 16S ribosomal RNA
Rfam family: Bacterial small subunit ribosomal RNA
Source: RNAcentral